GGUUUUCUCAGGUGAUGCACCCGGAAUCGGGCUCCCUCUUCUCUGGUUCCGGGUGCAUCACCCGAGAACCGCA
This is a non-coding RNA of Myotis lucifugus (little brown bat), 73 nucleotides long. The record is from Rfam. Lineage: Eukaryota; Metazoa; Chordata; Mammalia; Chiroptera; Vespertilionidae.